RNAcentral lists this ribosomal RNA (159 nucleotides) under Parastagonospora avenae. Its description in RNAcentral is "5.8S ribosomal RNA". It matches the Rfam family "5.8S ribosomal RNA". From Rfam's summary of the family: 5.8S ribosomal RNA (5.8S rRNA) is a component of the large subunit of the eukaryotic ribosome. The record is from RNAcentral. Lineage: Eukaryota; Fungi; Ascomycota; Dothideomycetes; Pleosporales; Phaeosphaeriaceae.
UACAACUUUCAACGACGGAUCUCUUGGUUCUGGCAUCGAUGAAGAACGCAGCGAAAUGCGAUAAGUAGUGUGAAUUGCAGAAUUCAGUGAAUCAUCGAAUCUUUGAACGCACAUUGCGCCCCUUGGUAUUCCAUGGGGCAUGCCUGUUCGAGCGUCAUU